Molecule: ribosomal RNA, 167 nt
Filed under: Vibrio parahaemolyticus
Lineage: Bacteria; Pseudomonadati; Pseudomonadota; Gammaproteobacteria; Vibrionales; Vibrionaceae
Description: partial 23S ribosomal RNA
Rfam family: Bacterial large subunit ribosomal RNA
Source: RNAcentral
AAAUGGUACCGUAACUUCGGGAGAAGGUACGCUCUCGACGGUGAAGUCCCUCGCGGAUGGAGCUAUUGAGAGUCGCAGAUACCAGGUGGCUGCAACUGUUUAUUAAAAAACACUAGCACUGUGCAAAAUCGUAAGAUGACGUAUACGGUGUGACGCCUGUCCCGGUG